CCGCUUGUAUAGAGACAACGGUGAGAAUUUUUUUUGUUCCGAAAUAACCGUUCAAAUUUAAGUGUAGCUUUUGUGGUGGAGCAGGAUCUGCAAGGCAAGGUGACGGCGGCAUUUGUGAAAAAAAGGGAAAACCUGCAACAAAAAUAUAAAUAAGAUACUUUUGUUACUUCCAGUACAGAAAUCAGAUGACAUUAUGCUGUUAAAAUUACUGAUUUUGUAUUGUGUUUGUGCAUCUUUGCAGGAUCUGAAAUGUCUGCAGACUGCUGUGAGUAGUGAGGAUGGAGAAGUCCACAGCAGCAUCCUGGAAAUGGUCCAGUGCCAUGGAUGAGAUGCUCCAUCACUCCACCUCUUACUGUCUCAUCUGGACCGGAUGCUGCUGUGGUCUCUUCAUCCUCAGUGACCCCAGAGUCAGCGAGAGCAUCUAGAGAUGACCAAAAGAGGAUGUGAGUUUGGUCAAGUUUGUUCUGCUGGUUUCUGUUCAUACAAUGAAGGCUGACUUUCAGAAGCUUCAAAAGCAUCAUCAAAAAAUGUCAUGAAGCUUUUAUCCAAAGUGAUUUACAGUGCUCUUAUUACAGGGACCUACAAUCCCCUGGAACAACCUGGAUUGCUCAGGGACAUACUGGUGGUUUUGAACCAGCAACUUUCUGCUCACCAGUUCAGUGGUUUAGCCCACUACAAAACUAGUCGUGCUCAUGGAAAGCAGCACACAGAUGUUUGGAGCAGAUACAGUGGCAGCCAGAUUGUCCCACAUGUGUGCCCCUGCUCUUGCUUCUAGGUUGUGUGUUUCAGAGAGCCGUCAUCAUGGUCUUCCUCAUCCUCUUGCUCAACGAUGUCCCCAUUGAGAAGAGCGAGAUUGUGAAGCACAGCGCAGCAGCAGAACUGUCUCAGCUGUGUUGAGAUGGCAGUAGGAUGUGGGAUUCACCAUCUGUAAAUACAUGAUUGUUAAAACAAUAAGUUUGAAUUAAGCUUUGUUUCAUCUGUUGUUGACUUGUAUAUGUAUUUAUUGUGAUGCUUACUUUUAUUCAUUCCUUUACUCAUUUAUUCAUGUUUAUUGUUGUCAGUAAAUAAAAUAUAAAUAUUUUAUUAAUUAAUGUAUUAAUUGCUUGACUGAAAAUUAAUGUAUUCACAUCGACUGCAUUUGUUCAACUAGUGUAUAUUUAUGUAUAGCUAUGUCACGACAAAAAAGUAUAUAUUUUUUCAUUUUAAG
Long non-coding RNA from Sinocyclocheilus rhinocerous, 1207 nucleotides. RefSeq lists it as uncharacterized. The record is from RefSeq and is a predicted model, not a curated record. NCBI's taxonomy places the organism in Eukaryota, Metazoa, Chordata, Actinopteri, Cypriniformes, Cyprinidae. The transcript has 3 exons.